CAGCAGCCGCGGUAAUACGUAGGGUCCGAGCGUUGUCCGGAAUUAUUGGGCGUAAAGAGCUCGUAGGCGGUCUGUCGCGUCUGCCGUGAAAUCCUCAGGCUCAACCUGAGGCGUGCGGUGGGUACGGGCAGGCUAGAGUGCGGUAGGGGAGAAUGGAACUCCUGGUGUAGCGGUGGAAUGCGCAGAUAUCAGGAAGAACACCGAUGGCGAAGGCAGUUCUCUGGGCCGUAACUGACGCUGAGGAGCGAAAGCGUGGGGAGCGAACAGGAUUAGAUACCCCCGUAGUCCCUGUCUCUUAUAC
This 301-nucleotide ribosomal RNA is filed under the name uncultured bacterium. RNAcentral describes it as "partial 16S ribosomal RNA". It matches the Rfam family "Bacterial small subunit ribosomal RNA", at positions 509 to 807 of the family's 1533-position model. The record is from RNAcentral.